This 64-nucleotide transfer RNA is filed under the name Salmonella enterica subsp. enterica. Its description in RNAcentral is "tRNA-Ala". It matches the Rfam family "tRNA", at positions 5 to 66 of the family's 71-position model. Rfam says of the family: Transfer RNA (tRNA) molecules are approximately 80 nucleotides in length. Their secondary structure includes four short double-helical elements and three loops (D, anti-codon, and T loops). Lineage: Bacteria; Pseudomonadati; Pseudomonadota; Gammaproteobacteria; Enterobacterales; Enterobacteriaceae. The record is from RNAcentral.
ACUUAGCUUAGUUGGUAGAGCGCCUGCUUUGCACGCAGGAGGUCAGGAGUUCGACUCUCCUAGU